AUUGAACGCUGGCGGAAUGCUUUACACAUGCAAGUCGAACGGUAGAGGGGGCAACCCCUUGAGAGUGGCGAACGGGUGAGUAAUAUAUCGGAACGUGCCCAGUCGUGGGGAUAACGUAGCGAAAGUUACGCUAAUACCGCAUACGAUCUAAGGAUGAAAGCGGGGGAUCGCAAGACCUCGCGCGAUUGGAGCGGCCGAUAUCAGAUUAGGUAGUUGGUGGGGUAAAGGCUCACCAAGCCAACGAUCUGUAGCUGGUCUGAGAGGACGACCAGCCACACUGGAACUGAGACACGGUCCAGACUCCUACGGGAGGCAGCAGUGGGGAAUUUUGGACAAUGGACGCAAGUCUGAUCCAGCCAUGCCGCGUGUGUGAAGAAGGUCUUCGGAUUGUAAAGCACUUUAAGUUGGGAGGAAGGGUAGUAACCUAAUACGUUGCUACUUUGACGUUACCGACAGAAUAAGCACCGGCUAACUUCGUGCCAGCAGCCGCGGU
RNAcentral lists this ribosomal RNA (493 nucleotides) under uncultured bacterium. RNAcentral's name for it is "bacterial SSU rRNA". It matches the Rfam family "Bacterial small subunit ribosomal RNA", at positions 30 to 521 of the family's 1533-position model. The record is from RNAcentral.